Molecule: ribosomal RNA, 459 nt
Filed under: uncultured bacterium
Lineage: Bacteria
Description: partial 16S ribosomal RNA
Rfam family: Bacterial small subunit ribosomal RNA
Source: RNAcentral
CCUACGGGGGGCUGCAGUGAGGAAUAUUGGUCAAUGGCCGAGAGGCUGAACCAGCCAAGUCGCGUGAGGGAAGACGGCCCUACGGGUUGUAAACCUCUUUUGUCGGGGAGCAAAGCGAACCACGUGUGGUUCCUUGAGAGUACCCGAAGAAAAAGCAUAGGCUCACUCCGUUCCAGCAGCCGCGCUAAUACGGAGGAUGCGAGCGUUAUCCGGUUUUAUUGGGUUUAACGGGUGCGUAGAGGGUCCGGACAGUCAGCGGUAAAAGACCGGGGCUCAACCCCGGCGGGCCGUUGAAACUGUCGGACUAGAGACGGCGAGAAGUACGCGGAAUGCGCGGUGUAGCGGUGAAAGGCAUAGAUAUCGGGCAGAACUCCGAUUGCGAAGGCAGCGUACCGGCGCCGGACUGACGCUGAGGCACGAAAGCGUGGGUAUCGAACAGGAUUAGAUACCCGUGUAGUC